Long non-coding RNA from Tachysurus vachellii, 727 nucleotides. RefSeq lists it as uncharacterized. The transcript has 3 exons. NCBI's taxonomy places the organism in Eukaryota, Metazoa, Chordata, Actinopteri, Siluriformes, Bagridae. The record is from RefSeq and is a predicted model, not a curated record.
UGGAAGUGUUUGGCUUGCUAAAUUCGUAUAUUAAUGAUCAGAUUAAUAAAUAAUUGUUGCCCUAAAGAGGAAGUGCGCAUCAGCCUUGUCGGAAGUAAUCCGUGAAGAGACAAAACAACAGGAGGCAGGACAAGUACAGAACAUCGAAAUCUUGAUGUUUGUUCCAAAUUCAGAAGUCUGGUGGAUACAGACCCAUUUAGGAGGAGGGCACACUUCUGCUGGCUUGACAGUACGUAUAUACCAUCCAGGGUUUUGCAGUGAUAGGUGCCAGCUACUGGAGAGUGAAAUGCCGUUCAAUCAACCAGUUCAUUUUUAAAAGCCUAGUUAAUCUAACUAAUCUUUCUUUUUUUUUCCAACAAACCUUUAACUUAAACUUUUUCUUUGUUUCUAAUUCUUUUCUUUCUUUCUAUAACUAUUCAUAAAGCUAUAACCAUUCUACACUUAUGGAUAGAUAGGAGGGUUGAAGAUUAGUAAGAAAAACAAAGAAAUUGUUUUUCUUACUAAUCUUCUACCCUCCUAUCUAUCCAUAAGUGUAGAAUGGUUAUAACUUUGUUCUCUUGCAAAUGACAGGUAGCCAACAUGUAUGUACUGAUGUAAUUCAUGCCAUUGUUAUAACUGGUGUGAGAUUGUGUACGGUAGAGUCUCUGGCCUGCGACCCCGUGAGACUUUGACCCCUGGCUCUACCGAUGAAACUAUUCUUCAAUAAAUUUUUACUUAUUUGAUUGUA